Molecule: long non-coding RNA, 236 nt
Filed under: Nicotiana benthamiana
Lineage: Eukaryota; Viridiplantae; Streptophyta; Magnoliopsida; Solanales; Solanaceae
Description: long non-coding RNA (NBEN_LNC021265)
Source: RNAcentral
GUAUGUCUUAAACUUUCUCUACUUUAGUUGGACAAGUGGAUAACCAAGAUAAGUUAGCAAUUUUUUCACUAUCAAAUCAACAAUCAGUCCUGGCAUAUCAUCAUAGGACCAUACAAACACGUCAUUAAAUUCGAACAGACAUUGGAUCAAUGCAUCUCUAGUUCUUUCAUUGGCGUGAAUGCUUAUCAUGGUUUCUCGUACCUUUAAUAGACUACCCAAAUCAAUGCAACUUCAUU